UACAGAGGGUGCUAGCGUUGUUCGGAAUCAUUGGGCGUAAAGGGCGUGUAGGCGGUUUGUUAAGUCAUGUGUGAAAUCCCUCGGCUCAACCGGGGAACGACGCAUGAAACUGGCAAGCUAGAGUACCAAAGAGGGGGGUGGAAUUCCCGGUGUAGCGGUGAAAUGCGCAGAUAUCGGGAGGAACACCAAUGGCGAAGGCAGCUCGCUGGGACGGUACUGACGCUGAGACGCGAAAGCGUGGGGAGCAAACAGG
This 253-nucleotide ribosomal RNA is filed under the name uncultured bacterium. Its description in RNAcentral is "partial 16S ribosomal RNA". It matches the Rfam family "Bacterial small subunit ribosomal RNA", at positions 524 to 776 of the family's 1533-position model. The record is from RNAcentral.